Molecule: non-coding RNA, 29 nt
Filed under: Homo sapiens (human)
Lineage: Eukaryota; Metazoa; Chordata; Mammalia; Primates; Hominidae
Source: RNAcentral
UGGAGGUGAAAUGAGUGAAGUAAGGCAGG